AAUGGGCGCAAGCCUGACCCAGCGACGCCGCGUGGGUGAUGAAGGCCUUCGGGUCGUAAAGCCCUGUCGGAAGGGACGAAUGUCCCCGGGGUGAACAAUCCCGGGGAGUGACGGUACCUUCAGAGGAAGCACCGGCUAACUCCGUGCCAGCAGCCGCGG
This 159-nucleotide ribosomal RNA is filed under the name uncultured bacterium. Its description in RNAcentral is "partial 16S ribosomal RNA". It matches the Rfam family "Bacterial small subunit ribosomal RNA", at positions 370 to 520 of the family's 1533-position model. The record is from RNAcentral.